UGGUUCUUCCUGGGCCCUGGCAC
RNAcentral lists this unclassified non-coding RNA (23 nucleotides) under Mus musculus (house mouse). Its description in RNAcentral is "oocyte_clustered_small_RNA12167". Lineage: Eukaryota; Metazoa; Chordata; Mammalia; Rodentia; Muridae. The record is from RNAcentral.